RNAcentral lists this ribosomal RNA (561 nucleotides) under uncultured bacterium. RNAcentral's name for it is "bacterial SSU rRNA". It matches the Rfam family "Bacterial small subunit ribosomal RNA", at positions 338 to 916 of the family's 1533-position model. The record is from RNAcentral.
CCUACGGGAGGCAGCAGUAGGGAAUCUUGUGCAAUGGGCGAAAGCCUGACACAGCAACUCCGCGUGCGGGAAGAAGGCCUUAGGGUUGUAAACCGCUUUUGGCAGGAACGAAAAUGACGGUACCUGCAGAAUAAGGUGCGGCCAACUACGUGCCAGCAGCCGCGGUGACACGUAGGCACCAAGCGUUGUCCGGAUUUAUUGGGCGUAAAGAGCUCGUAGGCGGUUCAGUUAGUCGGGUGUGAAAACUCUGGGCUUAACCCGGAGACGCCACUCGAUACUGCUGGGCUAGAAUUCGGUAGGGGAGUGGGGAAUUCCUGGUGUAGCGGUGAAAUGCGCAGAUAUCAGGAGGAACACCGGUGGCGAAGGCGCCACUCUGGGCCGACAUUGACGCUGAGGAGCGAAAGCGUGGGUAGCAAACAGGAUUAGAUACCCUGGUAGUCCACGCCGUAAACGGUGGGCACUAGGUGUGGGUUCCAACCAACGGAAUCCGUGCCGUCGCAAACGCAUUAAGUGCCCGCCUGGGGAGUACGGCCGCAAGGUUAAACUCAAAUGAAUUGACGG